AGCACUUUCACUCGAUGUGCUGCCCAAGUUAAGCUGGGUGAGGAAUUAUUCCUGAUGUGUUUUCCAGCGCCGGGCUUGGGGCAGAGGGAGAGAAGAUAUUUGUUUGCUUGAUUCCACAUGACAACUCCAGGGUAACUGAAUAGGCUGUACGGUCGGCUUGACAGGGCUGAGCACCCGCCAGCAGCCUGGCUCACAUACCAGAGCCAGGGGGAUGGAAGGGGCACUGGCAGCUGGGAUGGAGCCCAUCCCAAUUCCUCCACAGAGCGCCAAUUUGCCAUCAAUUAUUCAUGGCUUUCCCAGGUCUCGCUUCUGAGAGUGCCUUUCAUCCACAGCACUCUGUGUGAUCCAUGAGUUAAGCAUGGCAGCAUGGCUGAGAGACUGGGGCCACGGAAGCCUUGAAACACAGCCCAGAUUUAUCCUUCAUAUGAAGCCGGUUGCUCGUGGCCGGGCGUGCUCCCGUUGUGUGCCCAGCUGAGUGCCCAUGGUGCCUGCAGAGGGCGGCUGAGCAGGGCCAUGCAUCACCUCUUCGGGCUGGUGCUGGCACACAAGGACCUGUCCCGGGCGGGGGAUCUCUUCUCCCUGGAGGACGCUGAGAUCGAAGGGAGCCUCUCCGAAGCUCUUGAGCAGAUCAGAAUCAUUAGUUCAGCUGCAGACUACCAGACCAACGACAACGACCAGGCCGUGGUGGAGAUCUGCAUCACGCGCAUCACCACGGCCAUCAGGGAGACCGCGUCCAUCGAGAGGCACGGCAGGGCCCUGGUGGCUCUCUGGGAGUCCUGCCUGGAGCACAACCUGACGCCCUCCGGCAGGGAUGAGGAUGCCCCACAUGCCAAAAUUGCAUCUGACAUCAUGAGCUGCAUCCUGCAGAAUUACAACCGGCCUCCAGUGAUGGCCUUGGCUGUGCCAGUGGCAGUGAAGUUCCUGCAGAGGGGCAACAAGGAGCUGUGCAGGAACAUGUCCAGCUACCUGUCCUUGGCUGCCAUUGCCAAGGCUGAGCUGCUGGCUGAGCACACAGAAACCAUCGUCAGGAGUGUCCUGCAAGGGAACUGGAUGCUGCUGCGGGUGCUGCCCGCGCUCUACGAGAAGCAGCCGCGGCCGAUCCGCGCCCGCCUGCCCGAGCUGGUGGCGCCCAUGGCCCAGCUGGACCCGCCCGAGCAGCUCCACCUCCUCAGGCUCCUGCACACCGUGGCCAGGAAGAGAGAACUGGGGGUGCUGAGAGAGUGUUUGCCAUUUUUAUUUGCACACCUGAGGGACCCCAACCACAGCGAGGUGAUUCUAAACAUCCUUCUGGAAAUAUCCAGCUACGAACCUGCAGCCUUGGCCCCUUUCCUUCCCACGUUGAGGGAAAUUGGGGAGAGUUUUCCCAGUUUGAUUGGGCAGACAGCAAAGAUCUUUGGAGCUGUUGGACAUCUCGAUGAGGAGCAAGCCAGAGCCUCCCUGCUGUAUCUGGUGAACCAGCUGGCCAACAUGGAGCACUCCUUUCACCACCUCCUGCUGCUGGAGAUCAAGAGCCUCACCGACAGCUUCUCGAGCAUCCUGGGCUCCCAGAGCAGGGACAUUUACCGCAUGAGCAACAGCUUCUCUGCCAUCGCCCGGCUGCUGGCGCGGCAGCUGGGCACCGACGGCACCGCGGCUGCCGCCAGGAUGGAAAAGGACCCUGAGGCAGAAUGUCCUGUACCACUGGAUGAUUUAAAAUCUGUCGUGAACGGCAGUGAAGAAGAUGAAAAGCUGCAAGUUAAAAUCCAGGCUUUUGAAGAGAAAAUCAAUGUGGACAACAGCACCCCUGGCUCAGUGAGGAGAUACAGCCUGGGCCAGGUCUCUAAAGAAGAAAGGAAGGAUAUGAGGUUUAACAGGUCCAAGAGCCUGGCCCUGCACACGCUCAGGGUGAAGGGGCUGAGCUCAGAGGGAGGGACAGACGAGGACGGUGGGGACAUCCCUGCUGGCAUCUCCUUCUCCGAGCUCUGCCUCGGCCAGGAGCAGCAGCAGGAGCCUUUUGGGGUGCAGCCCGAGGCAGGGCUCCUGGGGGGCUCCCUGCUUUCACAGCACGGUGCUGACCAGCCCCAGGCAGGCAGCGUGCCAGAGCUGAGCCCAGAAAAGGCCCUGCAGGGACGGGCAGAGGCAGCCACGGGCCCUGUGCAGCACCAGGACAAGCUGUACCUGCACCUGAAGGAGAACCUGGGCAAGGUCAAGGAGUUUGUGAUGGAGAUGGGGAGGAGGAUUCCCGUCCCUGAGCAGUGUGUGAUCGAAGAUUCUGUUCAAAGCUGUGUGGCAAAGCUGUUCUUCAGCUGUCCCCUGAAGGGCCACUACUGCCUGUACAGCAAAUCCAGCUUCACCCUGGUGAGCCAGCAGCCUCCCCUCUGGAUCCACAUCAUGUUCCUGUUCCAGCAGAGCCUGUUUGCAGAACCUCUGUCCAUGCACAGCAGCUCUGUGCAAGUCCUCAAGGCGCUGUGGGAGAAGACCCAGCUCAAGGGCACGCACAGCUUUGAGACUGCCAUGAUCCAGAGCACCUUCCCUCACCAGAAGGACCUGGAGAGCGUUCAGAUGCACCUGGAGGAGGUGAGGUUCUUUGACUUGUUUGGCUACAGCGAGGAGGCAGGAGCCUGGCAGUGCUUCAUGUGCAACAACCCCGAGAAGGCAACAGGCAUGAACCAGGACGGGCAGCCCCUGAUGGAGGGCAGGCUGAAGGAGAAGCAGGUCCGCUGGAAGUUCAUCAAGAGGUGGAAAACGCGCUACUUCACCCUGGCUGGCAACCAGCUGCUGUUCCGCAGGGGCAAAUCCAAGGACGACCCUGACGAGUGUCCCAUCGAGCUGAGCAAGGUGCAGAGUGUCAAGGUGCUGCCCAAGAAGCGGCGGGACCGGAGCGUGCCCCGCGCCUUCGAGAUCUUCACGGACAGCAGGAGCUACGUGCUCAAGGCCAAGGACGAGAAGAACGCUGAGCAGUGGCUGCAGUGCCUCAACGUGGCCGUGGCCCAGGCCCGCCAGCGCCACAGCCGCGAGGCCACCACCUACCUGUGACCUGUGACACUGGGCCAUCACCUACCUGUGACCUGUGACACUGGGGCCACCACCUACCUGUGACACUGGGCCACCACCUACCUGUGACCCUGCACCACCUACCUGUGACCUGUGACACUGGGCCACCACCUACCUGUGACACUGGGCCACCACCUACCUGUGACCCUGCACCACCUACCUGUGACCUGUGACCCUCGGCCACCACCAACCUGUGACCCUGGAGCCAAUCCCUGCCUGUGACCCUGCACCACCUACCUGUG
Melospiza melodia melodia is the source of this 3275-nucleotide RNA transcript. It is a transcript of the gene named ventricular zone expressed PH domain containing 1, with no coding region annotated. NCBI's taxonomy places the organism in Eukaryota, Metazoa, Chordata, Aves, Passeriformes, Passerellidae. The transcript is spliced from 17 exons. The record is from RefSeq and is a predicted model, not a curated record.